GGGUGCGAUCAUACCAGCACUAAUGCACCGGAUCCCAUCAGAACUCUGCAGUUAAACGUGCUUGGGCGAGAGUAGUACUAGGAUGGGUGACCUCCUGGGAAGUCCUCGUGUUGCACCCC
Molecule: ribosomal RNA, 119 nt
Filed under: Populus trichocarpa (black cottonwood)
Lineage: Eukaryota; Viridiplantae; Streptophyta; Magnoliopsida; Malpighiales; Salicaceae
Also listed under: 2 other names
Source: RNAcentral